UACGGAGGGUGCAAGCGUUGUUCGGAAUUAUUGGGCGUAAAGCGCGUGUAGGCGGGAAGACAGGUCAGUUGUGAAAUCCCUUGGCCUAACCAAGGAACUGCAUCUGAAACCAUUUUUCUCGAGUACGAUAGGGGAUGGCGGAAUUCCCAGUGUAGAGGUGAAAUUCAUAGAUAUUGGGAGGAACACCAGUGGCGAAGGCGACCAUCUGGAUCGAUACUGACGCUGAGACGCGAAAGCGUGGGUAGCAAAC
Molecule: ribosomal RNA, 250 nt
Filed under: uncultured bacterium
Lineage: Bacteria
Description: partial 16S ribosomal RNA
Rfam family: Bacterial small subunit ribosomal RNA
Source: RNAcentral